This 1250-nucleotide ribosomal RNA is filed under the name metagenome. Its description in RNAcentral is "bacterial LSU rRNA". It matches the Rfam family "Bacterial large subunit ribosomal RNA", at positions 1635 to 2880 of the family's 2925-position model. The record is from RNAcentral.
CAUACGACCGUACCGCAAACCGACACUGGUGCGCGAGAUGAGUAUUCUAAGGCGCUUAGAACUCAGGAGAAGGAACUCGGCAAAUUGACACCGUAACUUCGGAAGAAGGUGUGCCCUAUUAGUGUGUAGUGAACAACGAAGCAUGAAUGGGUUGCAAAAAAUCGGUGGCUGCGACUGUUUAUUAAAAACACAGCACUCUGCAAACACGAAAGUGGACGUAUAGGGUGUGACGCCUGCCCGGUGCUGGAAGAUUAAAUGAUGGGGUGCAAGCUCUUGAUUGAAGUCCCAGUAAACGGCGGCCGUAACUAUAACGGUCCUAAGGUAGCGAAAUUCCUUGUCGGGUAAGUUCCGACCUGCACGAAUGGCGUAACGAUGGCCACACUGUCUCCUCCUGAGACUCAGCGAAGUUGAAAUGUUUGUGAUGAUGCAAUCUCCCCGCGGAAAGACGGAAAGACCCCAUGAACCUUUACUGUAGCUUUGUAUUGGACUUUGAACAGAUCUGUGUAGGAUAGGUGGGAGGCUUUGAAGCAGGGUCGCUAGAUCUUGUGGAGCCAACGUUGAAAUACCACCCUGGUGUGUUUGAGGUUCUAACCUAGGUCCAUUAUCUGGAUCGGGGACAGUGCAUGGUAGGCAGUUUGACUGGGGCGGUCUCCUCCCAAAGCGUAACGGAGGAGUUCGAAGGUACGCUAGUUACGGUCGGACAUCGUGACGAUAGUGCAAUGGCAUAAGCGUGCUUAACUGCGAGACUGACAAGUCGAGCAGAUGCGAAAGCAGGACAUAGUGAUCCGGUGGUUCUGUAUGGAAGGGCCAUCGCUCAUCGGAUAAAAGGUACUCUGGGGAUAACAGGCUGGUACCGCCCAAGAGUUCAUAUCGACGGCGGUGUUUGGCACCUCGAUGUCGGCUCAUCUCAUCCUGGGGCUGUAGCCGGUCCCAAGGGUAUGGCUGUUCGCCAUUUAAAGAGGUACGUGAGCUGGGUUUAAAACGUCGUGAGACAGUUUGGUCCCUAUCUUCCGUGGGCGCUGCAGAUUUGAGGAAGCCUGCUCCUAGUACGAGAGGACCGGAGUGGACACACCUCUGGUGUAUCGGUUGUCACGCCAGUGGCAUUGCCGAGUAGCUAAGUGUGGAAGAGAUAACCGCUGAAAGCAUCUAAGCGGGAAACUCGUUUCAAGAUGAGAUCUGCCGGGGCCUUGAGCCCCCUAAAGAGUCGUUCAAGACCAGGACGUUGAUAGGUCAGGUGUGGAAGCCAAAAA